AUCUGUCUCAUGUUGUAUUGAUAUCUGUCUCGUAUUGUAUUGAUAUCUGUCUCGUAUUGUAUUGAUAUCUGUCUCAUGUUGUAUUGAUAUCUGUCUCAUGUUGUGUUGUAUUGAUAUCUGUCUCAUGUUGUAUUGUAUUGAUAUCUGUCUCAUGUUGUGUUGAUAUCUGUCUCAUGUUGUAUUGAUAUCUGUCUCAUGUUGUAUUGUAUUGAUAUCUGUCUCAUGUUGUGUUGUAUUGAUAUCUGUCUCAUGUUGUAUUGAUAUCUGUCUCAUGUUGUAUUGAUAUCUGUCUCAUGUUGUAUUGUAUUGAUAUCUGUCUCAUGUUGUGUUGUAUUGAUAUCUGUCUCGUGUUGUAUUGAUAUCUGUCUCGUGUUGUAUCUGUCUCAUGUUGUAUUGAUAUCUGUCUCAUGUUGUGUUGAUAUCUGUCUCAUGUUGUACAGCCCACAUACAGGAGCAGUCAGCAUGUCAACUGCAACGAGUCCUGAUGUACAAUGCUGACUGCCCCUGUAUGCAUUCUGCUGUAAAUAUAUUCUGUUAAUAGUUCACUGAAGUUUAUUGUACCGUACUGGGCGCCUCUCCUCUUCUUUCUUAUCUAUUAUGGUUAUAGGCUGGCUAUCUGUAAAGCACUUUGUGACAACUGCUGAUGUAAGAAAAUGACUUUAUUAAAACACAUUUGAUUGAUAAUGAACCCCCCCCCCCCAAGAGAAAACAUGCACACAGUGUUUGUAGGCCUAUGUACCAUGUGUACCAGUCUUCAUUAACUGAGAGUUCCACUUCUGUUGUUGCAGCUUGGUGGGAAGCCCAGGAGCUUUUCCCUGUGCAUCAUGGACCUGCUUAAAGCCUCAGUGCCUAUCACCAUGUGUUUAUUCAAGUGUCAUCGUGAAACCAGAAAAAUAGUAAUGCGUCUGUAACAAGAACAGUGAGAGUAAUGUUGUUUUUCUUUCUGUGAAUAUUUAGUUGAUCAGGACCACAUCUGAAUUAGAAUGAUUUGAUGACUGCCAUCCACAUCCAAUCCACCACUUACCUAAUGAACACUAUUCACUCAGCAUUAUGUGCCAAUCAACAAAGUUUAUGAUUAAUAUUCCCUUUUGUCAGUAACAACCUCUACACAUAGCAACAUGCUUGACUGAAAACCUUUAAGCAUGUCUAUAGUCUUUAUGGGGGGUGAUGCUGUUACCAUCAGAUAUAUUAUGCCAAUAUGUCAGUUCUCAAUUAGAGGUGAGAUGAGAGCAGUGGGAAUGCAGGCGCCUUAAAGGCAGGUAGGUAGUCCUGCCUUUAAGAGGAGCAGGCAGGGGAGCAGGCAGAGGAGCAGGCAGAGGAGCAGGCAGCCAGUACAUUGCAAUGCACUUUGUAUGUAUUCUGUUGUAAAUAUAUUCUGUUAAUAUUUCAUUAAAGUUUAUUGUAACGUACGGGCCACCUACUCCUCUUAGUUAUCAUUUAGGAAGAUUAUGUUCACAGGCCUCUCCAAAUGCUAUGUUGAAGGAGGAAAACAGACAGUUUCUCUCAUUCCUUCACCAAGUCAUCCAAUGUUCGCAUCAUGAACAAAUGUUGCAUCAUUUCAACUGCUCCUCCUCAAUGUAACAGAUGUGAAAUGCCUAGCUAGUUAGCGGUGGUGCGCGCUAAAUAGCGUUUCAGUC
Molecule: long non-coding RNA, 1637 nt
Organism: Oncorhynchus mykiss (rainbow trout)
Lineage: Eukaryota; Metazoa; Chordata; Actinopteri; Salmoniformes; Salmonidae
Source: Ensembl